Molecule: ribosomal RNA, 554 nt
Filed under: uncultured bacterium
Lineage: Bacteria
Description: bacterial SSU rRNA
Rfam family: Archaeal small subunit ribosomal RNA
Source: RNAcentral
AGUGAAUAGAUACCCUGGUAGUCCUAGCCGUAAACGAUACUCGCUAGGUGUCGGCCACGGUGCGACCGUUGUCGGUGCCGUAGGGAAAGCCGUGAAGCGAGCCACCUGGGAAGUACGGCCGCAAGGCUGAAACUUAAAGGAAUUGGCGGGGGAGCACCACAACGGGUGGAGCUUGCGGUUUAAAUUGGAUUCAACGCCGGAAAUCUUACCGGGACCGACAGCAACAUGAAGGCCAGGCUGAAGACUUUGCCGGAUUAGCUGAGAGGUGGUGCAUGGCCGUCGUCAGUUCGUACUGUGAAGCAUCCUGUUAAGUCAGGCAACGAGCGAGACCCACGCCCACAGUUGCCAGCGUACUCUCCGGAGUGACGGGUACACUGUGGGGACCGCCGCUGCUAAAGCGGAGGAAGGAAUGGGCAACGGUAGGUCAGUAUGCCCCGAAUAUCCCGGGCUACACGCGAGCUACAAUGGUUGGUACAAUGGGUAUCUACCCCGAAAGGGGAUGGAAAUCUCCUAAAGCCAAUCUUAGUUCGGAUUGAGGGCUGCAACUCGCCCUC